UUAGUUAUUGUGUUAAUCACUCGGACAUCACUAUAAAAACGAUUGUAAAGGCCACUGGCGGGCGGCACUGACCUGGAACGGACCCACAGCCGGCGGUGAGAACCCUCACGGCCCGCCAAAGCAACAAAGGUAGAUAGACACAGGGUGAAGAGCAGAGGGCCCGUGAGCCCCCCGGGACAAAUGCCCCAUUCUCUCGGUAAUGAUCCUUCCGCAGGUUCACCUACGGAAA
Molecule: unclassified non-coding RNA, 229 nt
Filed under: uncultured fungus
Lineage: Eukaryota; Fungi
Description: sequence contains ITS1
Source: RNAcentral